GACGAACGCUGGCGGCGUGCUUAACACAUGCAAGUCGAACGGAAAGGCCCUGCUUUUGUGGGGUGCUCGAGUGGCGAACGGGUGAGUAACACGUGAGUAACCUGCCCUUGACUUUGGGAUAACUUCAGGAAACUGGGGCUAAUACCGGAUAGGAGCUCCUGCUGCAUGGUGGGGGUUGGAAAGUUUCGGCGGUUGGGGAUGGACUCGCGGCUUAUCAGCGUGUUGGUGGGGUAGUGGCUUACCAAGGCUUUGACGGGUAGCCGGCCUGAGAGGGUGACCGGCCACAUUGGGACUGAGAUACGGCCCAGACUCCUACGGGAGGCAGCAGUGGGGAAUAUUGCACAAUGGGCGGAAGCCUGAUGCAGCAACGCCGCGUGCGGGAUGACGGCCUUCAGGUUGUAAACCGCUUUCGCCUGUGACGAAGCGUGAGUGACGGUAAUGGGUAAAGAAGCACCGGCUAACUACGUG
RNAcentral lists this ribosomal RNA (468 nucleotides) under uncultured bacterium. Its description in RNAcentral is "partial 16S ribosomal RNA". It matches the Rfam family "Bacterial small subunit ribosomal RNA", at positions 28 to 507 of the family's 1533-position model. The record is from RNAcentral.